RNAcentral lists this unclassified non-coding RNA (404 nucleotides) under soil metagenome. Its description in RNAcentral is "partial contains 5.8S ribosomal RNA, internal transcribed spacer 2, and large subunit ribosomal RNA". The stretch from base 1 to 122 matches the Rfam family "5.8S ribosomal RNA", at positions 35 to 154 of the family's 154-position model. The record is from RNAcentral.
GAUGAAGAACGCAGCAAAAUGCGAUACUUGGUGUGAAUUGCAGAAUCCCGUGAACCAUCGAGUUUUUGAACGCAAGUUGCGCCCGAAGCCUUUUGGCCGAGGGCACGUCUGCCUGGGCGUCACGCAUCGCGUCGCCCCCCACAAUUCUCCGUAAAGGGAACAUGUGUUUUGGGGGCGGAUAUUGGUCUCCCGUGCUCAUGGCGUGGUUGGCCGAAAUAGGAGUCCUUUCGAUGGACGCACGAACUAGUGGUGGUCGUAAAAACCCUCGUCUUUUGUUUCGUGCUGUUGGUCGCAAGGUAAACUCUUUAAAAACCCCAAUGUGUCGUCUCUUGACGACGCUUCGACCGCGACCCCAGGUCAGGCGGGACUACCCGCUGAGUUUAAGCAUAUCAAUAAGCGGAGGA